RNAcentral lists this ribosomal RNA (442 nucleotides) under uncultured bacterium. RNAcentral's name for it is "partial 16S ribosomal RNA". It matches the Rfam family "Bacterial small subunit ribosomal RNA", at positions 338 to 795 of the family's 1533-position model. The record is from RNAcentral.
CCUACGGGUGGCAGCAGUGGGGAAUAUUGCACAAUGGGGGGAACCCUGAUGCAGCGACGCCGCGUGAGUGAAGAAGUAUUUCGGUACGUAAAGCUUUAUCAGCAGGGAAGCAAAAAGGAUGGUAUCUGAGUAAGAAGCCCUGACCAACUACGUGCCAGCAGCCGGCGCAAUACGGGGGGGGCAAGUGAUACCCGGAAUUACUGGGGGUAAAGGGAGGGUAGGCGGGAAUGGAAGUCCGGGGUGGAAUGCGGCGGGGCAACUGCCGAACUGCUCUGGAAACUGUAUGGCUUGAGUGCCGGAGGGGUAAGCGGAAUGCCUGGUGUAGCGGUGAAAUGCGUAGAUAUCAGGAAGAACACCGAUGGCGAAGGCAGCAUACUGGACUGUAACUGACGUUGAGGCUCGAAAGCGUGGGGAGCGAACAGGAUUAGAUACCCUAGUAGUC